Molecule: small RNA, 71 nt
Filed under: Marmota monax (woodchuck)
Lineage: Eukaryota; Metazoa; Chordata; Mammalia; Rodentia; Sciuridae
Rfam family: GAIT element
About the family: This family represents a cis-acting element in the 3'-UTR of the ceruloplasmin (Cp) gene called gamma interferon inhibitor of translation (GAIT).
Source: RNAcentral
GUAUGUGAACAUGUUAAAUACAACAUUGCUUUGGAAUGGCUAAAAACAUUAAUAAAAGACUGAAAACAUAA